Molecule: ribosomal RNA, 465 nt
Filed under: uncultured bacterium
Lineage: Bacteria
Description: partial 16S ribosomal RNA
Rfam family: Bacterial small subunit ribosomal RNA
Source: RNAcentral
CCUACGGGAGGCAGCAGUGGGGAAUAUUGCGCAAUGGGCGAAAGCCUGACGCAGCGACGCUGCGUGAGGGAUGAAGGUCUUCGGAUCGUAAACCUCUGUCAGCAGGGAAGAACGGUCACUGUGCUAAUCAGCAGUGAAUUGACGGUACCUGCAAAGGAAGCACCGGCUAACUCCGUGCCAGCAGCCGCGGUAAUACGGAGGGUGCGAGCGUUAAUCGGAAUUACUGGGCGUAAAGCGCUCGUAGGCGGUAUGUCAAGUCAAGGGUGAAAUCCCCGGGCUCAACGUGGGAACUGCCUUUGAAACUGGCAAACUGGAGUGUGUGAGAGGAUAGUGGAAUUCCAGGUGUAGGAGUGAAAUGCGUAGAUAUGUGGAGGAACAUCAGUGGCGAAGGCGACUAUCUGGCACAUAACUGACGCUGAGGAGCGAAAGCGUGGGUAGCAAACAGGAUUAGAUACCCGGGUAGUC